Molecule: ribosomal RNA, 477 nt
Filed under: uncultured bacterium
Lineage: Bacteria
Description: partial 16S ribosomal RNA
Rfam family: Bacterial small subunit ribosomal RNA
Source: RNAcentral
AUUGAACGCUGGCGGCAUGCCUUACACAUGCAAGUCGAACGGUAACAGGUUAAGCUGACGAGUGGCGACCGGGUGAGUAAUGUAUCGGAACGUGCCCAGUCGUGGGGGAUAACUGCUCGAAAGAGCAGCUAAUACCGCCUACGACCUGAGGGUGAACGCGGGGGAUCGCAAGACCUCGCGCGAUUGGAGCGGCCGAUAUCAGAUUAGGUAGUUGGUGAGGUAAAGGCUCACCAAGCCGACGAUCUGUAGCUGGUCUGAGAGGACGACCAGCCACACUGGGACUGAGACACGGCCCAGACUCCUACGGGAGGCAGCAGUGGGGAAUGUUGGACAAUGGGCGCAAGCCUGAUCCAGCCAUGCCGCGUGCGGGAAGAAGGCCUUCGGGUUGUAAACCGCUUUUGUCAGGGAAGAAAAGGUUCUGGCUAAUACCUGGGACUCAUGACGGUACCUGAAGAAUAAGCACCGGCUAACUACGUG